RNAcentral lists this ribosomal RNA (440 nucleotides) under uncultured bacterium. Its description in RNAcentral is "partial 16S ribosomal RNA". It matches the Rfam family "Bacterial small subunit ribosomal RNA", at positions 338 to 795 of the family's 1533-position model. The record is from RNAcentral.
CCUACGGGUGGCAGCAGUGGGGAAUAUUGCACAAUGGGGGAAACCCUGAUGCAGCGACGUAGCGUGAGUGAAGAAGUAUCUCGGUACGUAACGCUCUAUCAGUAGGGAAGAAAAUGACGGUACCUGACUAAGAAUCCACGGCUAAAUACGUGCCAGCAGCCGAGGUAAUACGGAGGGGGCCAGCGUUAUCCGGAUUUACUGGGUGUAAAGGGAGUGUAGAGGGCAGCACAAGUCUGUAGUGAAAGCACGAGGCUUAACCCCGGAACUGCAUUGGAAACUGUGCGGCUGGAGUGCAGGAGGGGUAGGCGGAAUUCCUGGUGUAGCGGUGAAAUGCGUAGAUAUUAGGAGGAACGCCGGUGGCGAAGGCAGCUUACUGGACUGUAACUGACGUUGAGGCUCGAAAGCGUGGGGAGCAAACAGGAUUAGAUACCCGAGUAGUC